This 752-nucleotide long non-coding RNA is filed under the name Sorghum bicolor (sorghum). RNAcentral's name for it is "long non-coding RNA (SBIC_LNC007018)". The record is from RNAcentral. Lineage: Eukaryota; Viridiplantae; Streptophyta; Magnoliopsida; Poales; Poaceae.
AACAGGGCCAUGGCCAAAGACAAAGGCAUUGAGCGUGUCUGACCAGAAGUAUGACGCAGCUAUCAGCAAUGACUCGUUCCUAUGCAUAUCGGCAAUAGACAACCUAAUGCAUUGGGCUAGAUUUCUUUCACCCCAUUGGACUUCAUUUGAGUUGCUAACUCUCAGAAACCAAUCUGUCCACCCCACAGUAGGACUGGGCCAGGAGCGAAAAAUGUCCUUCCACAGAUCCAAAGAAAAGUUCUCUGCUCUGAAAGGGAUCCUAUUGGUUUCUGCGUUUAUGAGAUCGGUUGGAUCUGGAUCCCCUAACGGGCCAAGGCAUUGGAGAUGUGGUCGAUCAGUGGGGAUGACAAUUUUGUUAGCCGAUUCCUAAUGGUUUUGGAGGUAUACAAAAAAAACAAAAAAAAGGAGAAGGGGGAAAAAUAUUCAGUACGGCGGAUUGCAGAUAAACGAGGGUGCGAGAAAAGGUCAAUAGAUGGUGCGAAGGACUGACCUCAGGGAUGAUGAAGUUGACGGCCAUUUUGCCACGGAGGAGAAGCUUGAGAGUUUUGGAGUUGGUGAAGAAGGAGCCUCGUCGGAGAUCUUGGAGCUUUUGGAACAGCGCCGCCGCCGGAAAGGUGAGGUUGAAGUUGUAGAAUGAUGUGAUGGAGAAGGAGUACCCAAGAAGGAACUACUUAUAGGACAAAACGGGCAGGGGCAAAUCUGACUUAUCUCUUUGCCGCAUCCGAGAAAUCCGAGGGUGCUCAGGUAGAUAU